Molecule: ribosomal RNA, 339 nt
Filed under: uncultured bacterium
Lineage: Bacteria
Description: bacterial SSU rRNA
Rfam family: Bacterial small subunit ribosomal RNA
Source: RNAcentral
AGAGUUUGAUCCUGGCUCAGAACGAACGUUAGCGGCGCGCCUAACACAUGCAAGUCGCACGAGAAAGGGCUUCGGCCCCGGUACAGUGGCGCACGGGUGAGUAACACGUGGGUAAUCUGCCCUCGAGCGGGGGAUAACAUUCCGAAAGGAGUGCUAAUACCGCAUAAGACCACGCCUUCGAAAGAAGAAGCGGUCAAAGCUGGCCUCUAUACAUAAGCUAGCACUCGAGAAUGAGCCCGCGGAGCAUCAGCUAGUUGGUGAGGUAAUGGCUCACCAAGGCUUAGACGCCUAGCUGGUCUGAGAGGAUGAUCAGCCACACUGGAACUGAGACACGGUCCA